GGGGGUGAACGGUUUCGACUUCGGACGAUCGCUUCAGGGGAAGCGGGCCGAGGACCCAGGGUCACCUCGUAAACGAUCCCUGGAAACAAAUAAGUGCCAACGCUAAGCGCACUGACUUCGCUCUCGCCGCCUGACGCGAGCUAGCGAAGGGUCAGGCCGGGAGUGCCUCCGACCCGGAUCCUGGCCUCAUCGAGGAGGCUCGCCCGCAUGGAACGGCCGCGGGGCCGUGCGGGGACACCGACCGCGGCUGGGCCCGUCGGCGACUUGCCUGCGUGAGCGCCGGGGCCGAGUAGAACGCUGAGCAGGCUGCGCCCGGAGAAGCCCUGAAACGACGACGAAGGACGCGGGUUCGAUUCCCGCCACCUCCACCA
RNAcentral lists this transfer-messenger RNA (371 nucleotides) under Thermasporomyces composti. RNAcentral's name for it is "Standard tmRNA". It matches the Rfam family "transfer-messenger RNA". Rfam says of the family: Bacterial tmRNA, also known as 10Sa RNA or SsrA, is named for its dual tRNA and mRNA-like properties. Its role is to liberate the mRNA from a stalled ribosome. To accomplish this part of the tmRNA is used as a reading frame that ends in a translation stop signal. The record is from Rfam by way of RNAcentral. Lineage: Bacteria; Bacillati; Actinomycetota; Actinomycetes; Propionibacteriales; Nocardioidaceae.